This 91-nucleotide non-coding RNA is filed under the name unclassified sequences. The record is from Rfam.
CACCACUUGGUGCAGAUAAGCCAUCAGGACACGGUUUAGUACACUCCCGCAACCUGCGGGGGCGGUGGAAAGACCGUGAGGCUAAAAGGAG